Molecule: long non-coding RNA, 1546 nt
Organism: Coturnix japonica (Japanese quail)
Lineage: Eukaryota; Metazoa; Chordata; Aves; Galliformes; Phasianidae
Source: RefSeq, a predicted model, not a curated record
CCCUCUAGAGCUACUCCCAGAGAUUGAGUAGUUGGAGGCUGCUGCAGCUCUGCUCCUGCUGUGGUCUCUGCAGGAAGGGAGGCUGAAGCUGGAGGGGUCCUGGGGCUGAGGACAAGAGACUGAGGCUGAGGGCUGGAGGAUGAGGCUGAAGGGGACCUGAAGCUGUGAGCAGGAGGGCAAGAGAUUGAGGCUGAGGGCUGGAGGGGUCCUGAAGCCAUGGGCACAGGUGAAAACACCAGGAAGAGGCUGCCAGGUGGGCUGUGCACCAGCAGAGAGCAGGAGAUGGGAUCAGAACUAUAAGGAGAUGGGAUGAGGCCAGGCUCUGUUCUCUGAAGGUGCAGAGACUGACAUGUCAGGCUGUGCCUGGGCAGGAAGCAUUGAUAUCCCCUCUCAGCAUCACAUCUCAUCUCCCUCGAACAGCUCCAGAACAGUAGGUAAAAGCUGCAGCUGCUGCUCUGCCUGGCCUGGUGGUCCAGGACGGUAUAUAAAACCAGCCAUGAUUCAGACACCUUCCAGCAGGUUCUCGUGACUUCUCUUCGGUGAACAGAGUCUAUAGCACGGCUAAACAAUGUCUUGUGAGAAAACCUUGUGCACAGAGCCGUGUGCUGCUGUAGGCAACGUGAAAGGCCCUGAGCCCUGUGCUGCUGCCUGCAGUGAGCCCUGCGUCGUUGCCUGCCCUGACUCCCGUGUCAUCAUCUUCCCACCACCUGUGGUCGUCACCAUCCCAGGACCCAUCCUCACCACCUACCCACAAGAGACCAUCGUGGGCUCCACGGAGUCAGCCGAGCUGGCUGGUGCCCUGGAAUCGGGUGUAGCCAUCGGAUCAACACAAAAGGGGGCUGAGUGUGCACUGCCCUGUUCUGUGCCCUGUGCUGUGCCUUGUGCUGAGCCUUGUGCCACAAAGCUUGUGACAAAGUGUGAGGCACCAUGCCCACCUCCGUGCCCACCCCCGUGCCCACCUCCAUGUCCACCUCCGUGUGUGCCCCAGUGUGAGCCCCAGUGCGUCCCUCAGUGUGUGCCGGAGCGCUCUUACACUUAUUCCACCCAGUGGAAGCAUCCUUGCCAGAGAGGCUUCUGCAAGGUCUAAUCAGCCUACAGCAGAGAACAAUCACAGGAGAACAGCAAGCAAAGGAGUGAACGGAUACGGAUCAUCAUUUACAAGCAUAGCUUUCAAGGUUCUUCCUACUGCAGAGGGAAGCGCCCCAAAAUCAGGACCUUGCUUCUAAUUCCUUUAUAGUGCUUUAGCUUAGAUUAAUGCUUUCCUUAUUCCUGUGGCUUUGCAUCUUACAUCUGUGCUUUUAACUUCCUCUACGCGGAUUGACUUUGUGAUUUAAACAAACAAAAGAAACAUACCUAGGGAUUUGAAUGUCACACACAGCAAAAAAAUGAGGAAAAAAAAACAUCUUAAUGAAAUGCACCACAUUGGAAUGGGUAACUGGUUCUAGCUUUCCUUGUUUCUAGAAAUAUACGCUUUUCUAGACUGCAUUAUUCUUUCUGCAAAUGUUUACUCCACUCUGCAUUCACAUUAAAAGGCUGCUGCAUCAAA